CCUACGGGAGGCAGCAGUGGGGGAUAUUGCACAAUGGGGGGAACCCUGAUGCAGCGACGCCGCGUGGGUGAAGGAGCGUUUCGGCGCGUAAAGCCCUAUCGGCAGGGAAGAAGGAGGACGGUACCUGACUAAGAAGCCCCGGCUAACUACGUGCCAGCAGCCGCGGUAAUACGUAGGGGGCAAGCGUUAUCCGGAUUUACUGGGUGUAAAGGGGGCGCAGACGGCAGCGCAAGCCAGGAGUGAAAGCCCGGGGCCCAACCCCGGGACUGCUCUUGAAACUGUGUUUCUUGAGUGCUGGAGAGGCAAUCGGAAUUCCGUGUGUAGCGGUGAAAUGCGUAGAUAUACGGAGGAACACCAGUGGCGAAGGCGGAUUGCUGGACAGUAACUGACGCUGAGGCGCGAAAGCGUGGGGAGCAAACAGGAUUAGAUACCCUUGUAGUC
Molecule: ribosomal RNA, 441 nt
Filed under: uncultured bacterium
Lineage: Bacteria
Description: partial 16S ribosomal RNA
Rfam family: Bacterial small subunit ribosomal RNA
Source: RNAcentral